UUCUAUGGCCAUGCCACCCUGAACAUGCUCGAUCCCAUCUGAUCUUGGAAGCUAAGCAGGGUUGGGCCUGGUUAGUACUUGGAUGGGAGACUGUCUAGGAAGACCGGGUGCUGUAGGCG
Molecule: non-coding RNA, 119 nt
Organism: Pteropus alecto (black flying fox)
Lineage: Eukaryota; Metazoa; Chordata; Mammalia; Chiroptera; Pteropodidae
Source: Rfam